RNAcentral lists this non-coding RNA (868 nucleotides) under Pholis nebulosa (tidepool gunnel). RNAcentral describes it as "partial 12S ribosomal RNA". It matches the Rfam family "Bacterial small subunit ribosomal RNA", at positions 184 to 1508 of the family's 1533-position model. The record is from RNAcentral. Lineage: Eukaryota; Metazoa; Chordata; Actinopteri; Perciformes; Pholidae.
ACUCCUGUGAGAAUGCCCUAAUAGUUCCCCGCCCGGGAACAAGGAGCUGGUAUCAGGCACAACCCUAGUUAAGCCCACGACGCCUUGCUUAGCCACACCCUCAAGGGAACUCAGCAGUGAUAAACGUUAAGCCCUAAGUGAAAACUUGACUUAGUCAAAGCUAAGAGGGCCGGUAAAACUCGUGCCAGCCACCGCGGUUAUACGAGAGGCCCAAGUUGACAGACAGCGGCGUAAAGAGUGGUUAAGUUAAAAUUGUACUAAAGCCGAACACCCUCCAGGCUGUUAUACGCAUCCGAAGGUAAGAAGUUCAACCACGAAGGUGGCUUUAUUUAGUCUGAACCCACGAAAGCUACGACACAAACUGGGAUUAGAUACCCCACUAUGCCUAGCCCUAAACAUUGAUAGUAUUAUACACCCACUAUCCGCCUGGGAACUACGAGCAUUAGCUUAAAACCCAAAGGACUUGGCGGUGCUUUAGAUCCACCUAGAGGAGCCUGUUCUAGAACCGAUAACCCCCGUUCAACCUCACCUUUCCUUGUUUUUCCCGCCUAUAUACCGCCGUCGUCAGCUUACCCUGUGAAGGCUAAAUAGUAAGCAAAACUGGUAGAACCCAAAACGUCAGGUCGAGGUGUAGCGUAUGGGAAGGGAAGAAAUGGGCUACAUUCGCUAGCAUAGCGAACACGGACGAUGCGCUGAAACGUUCAUCUGAAGGAGGAUUUAGCAGUAAGCAGGAAAUAGAGUGUUCCGCUGAAAUCGGCCCUGAAGCGCGCACACACCGCCCGUCACUCUCCCCAAGCCUACCAACUUAAUUAAUUAAACCACAAUAAUCGCAAAGGGGAGGCAAGUCGUAACAUGGUAAGUGUACCGG